GGAGAGGUGCCCGAGUGGCUGAAGGGGCUCGCCUGGAAAGUGAGUGUGCGUUAAUAGCGCACCGAGGGUUCGAAUCCCUCUCUCUCCGCCA
This 91-nucleotide transfer RNA is filed under the name Coxiellaceae bacterium. RNAcentral describes it as "tRNA-Ser". It matches the Rfam family "tRNA". From Rfam's summary of the family: Transfer RNA (tRNA) molecules are approximately 80 nucleotides in length. Lineage: Bacteria; Pseudomonadati; Pseudomonadota; Gammaproteobacteria; Legionellales; Coxiellaceae. The record is from RNAcentral.